CGGGGUGAGUAACGCGUGGGUAACCUGCCUUGUACUGGGGGACAACAGUUAGAAAUGACUGCUAAUACCGCAUAAGCGCACAGUAUCGCAUGAUACAGUGUGAAAAACUCCGGUGGUACAAGAUGGACCCGCGUCUGAUUAGCUAGUUGGUAAGGUAACAGCUUACCAAGGCGACGAUCAGUAGCCGACCUGAGAGGGUGACCGGCCACAUUGGGACUGAGACACGGCCCAA
Molecule: ribosomal RNA, 232 nt
Filed under: uncultured bacterium
Lineage: Bacteria
Description: partial 16S ribosomal RNA
Rfam family: Bacterial small subunit ribosomal RNA
Source: RNAcentral